GACGAACGCUGGCGGCGUGCUUAACACAUGCAAGUCGAACGGAAAGGCCCUGCUUUUGUGGGGUGCUCGAGUGGCGAACGGGUGAGUAACACGUGAGUAACCUGCCCUUGACUUUGGGAUAACUUCAGGAAACUGGGGCUAAUACCGGAUAGGAGCUCCUGCUGCAUGGUGGGGGUUGGAAAGUUUCGGCGGUUGGGGAUGGACUCGCGGCUUAUCAGCUUGUUGGUGGGGUAGUGGCUUACCAAGGCUUUGGCGGGUAGCCGGCCUGAGAGGGUGACCGGCCACAUUGGGACUGAGAUACGGCCCAGACUCCUACGGAAGGCAGCAGUGGGGAAUAUUGCACAAUGGGCGGAAGCCUGAUGCAGCAACGCCGCGUGCGGGAUGACGGCCUUCGGGUUGUAAACCGCUUUCGCCUGUGACGAAGCGUGAGUGACGGUAAUGGGUAAAGAAGCACCGGCUAACUACGUG
This 468-nucleotide ribosomal RNA is filed under the name uncultured bacterium. RNAcentral's name for it is "partial 16S ribosomal RNA". It matches the Rfam family "Bacterial small subunit ribosomal RNA", at positions 28 to 507 of the family's 1533-position model. The record is from RNAcentral.